GACAGAGGAGGCAAGCGUUAUCCGGAAUUAUUGGGCGUAAAGCGUCCGUAGGUGGUUUGGCAAGUCUGGGGUUAAAGCCCGGAGCCUAACUCCGGAUCGCCCCUGGAAACUGCCAGACUAGAGUAAGGUAGGGGUUGCGGGAAUUCCCGGUGUAGCGGUGAAAUGCGUAGAUAUCGGGAAGAACACCAGUGUCGAAAGCGCGCAACUGGGCCAUUACUGACACUGAGGGACGACAGCUAGGGGAGCUAAUGGG
RNAcentral lists this ribosomal RNA (253 nucleotides) under uncultured bacterium. RNAcentral's name for it is "partial 16S ribosomal RNA". It matches the Rfam family "Bacterial small subunit ribosomal RNA", at positions 524 to 776 of the family's 1533-position model. The record is from RNAcentral.